This 497-nucleotide ribosomal RNA is filed under the name uncultured bacterium. Its description in RNAcentral is "bacterial SSU rRNA". It matches the Rfam family "Bacterial small subunit ribosomal RNA", at positions 372 to 879 of the family's 1533-position model. The record is from RNAcentral.
UGGGCGAAAGCCUGACCGAGCGACGCCGCGUGUGCGAUGAAGGCCUUUUGGUUGUAAAGCACUGUCGAAGGGGAGCAAGCCGCAAGGUUGAGAGUACCCUUGGAGGAAGCACGGGCUAAGUUCGUGCCAGCAGCCGCGGUAAGACGAACCGUGCGAACGUUAUUCGGAAUCACUGGGCUUAAAGGGUGCGUAGGCGGGUGGACAAGUCGAGGGUGAAAGCCUCUAGCUUAACUAGAGAAGUGCCCUCGAUACUGUUUGUCUUGAGAGAGAUAGGGGCACACGGAACUUCCGGUGGAGCGGUGAAAUGCGUAGAUAUCGGAAGGAACGCCGGUGGCGAAAGCGGUGUGCUGGAUCUUUUCUGACGCUGAGGCACGAAAGCUAGGGUAGCGAACGGGAUUAGAUACCCCGGUAGUCCUAGCCCUAAACGAUGAGUACUAGAUUGUGGACUGACAUGGGUUCACAGUCGAAGCAAAAGUGUUAAGUACUCCGCCUGGGGA